UACGGAGGGGGCUAGCGUUAUUCGGAAUUAUUGGGCGUAAAGGGCGCGUAGGUGGCCCGGUAAGUCAAAGGUGAAAUCCCUCGGCCCAACUGAGGAACUGCCUUUGAAACUGUCGGGCUUGAGGCCGGGAGGGGGUAGCGGAAUUCCCAGUGUAGCGGUGAAAUGCGUAGAUAUUGGGAGGAACACCGGUGGCGAAGGCGGCUACCUGGACCGGUUCUGACGCUGAGGCGCGACAGCGUGGGGAGCAAACAGG
This 253-nucleotide ribosomal RNA is filed under the name uncultured bacterium. RNAcentral's name for it is "partial 16S ribosomal RNA". It matches the Rfam family "Bacterial small subunit ribosomal RNA", at positions 524 to 776 of the family's 1533-position model. The record is from RNAcentral.